AUGUCUGAAUACUUAAAGUUGUGUUUUUUCUAUUGUGCAAUAUUUCCAAAAGGUCACAAUAUAGUGAAGUAUGAUCUAUUUCACCAAUGGAUAGCUCUUCGACUCAUUGAGCCAUCUAGGAUAUUUGAUUCUAUGCAGCUCUGCGAGAAAUAUAUUACACAACUUUUGGGAAUGUCCUUCCUCGAAUAUUCAAAGCCACCUUCAAGUGAUAGACAUCGGGUCAAAGAUGUUGCAUUGUUCACAAUGCAUGACCUAGUGCACAAUCUCGCCAGAAGGAUGUUGGCCGAUCAAGUCAACGAUAAGGGCGGUGCUGGGGGAGACAGAUGCCGCUAUGCAUUGCUCACGGACUGUACGAAGCCGUUGCAGUUGUCCAUGACUUUUCCUGCAAAUAUAAAGGCGUUGCAUUUUCUUGAUUGUCGCAAAUUAGCACUUCAUGAGGAUGCAUUUUCACUAGCUACAUGCCUCCAUGUCUUAGAUUUAAGUCAAUGCCUUAUUUGUAGGUUACCUGAUUCCAUUGGUCAACUGAAGCAAUUAAGAUAUCUUCAUGCUCCAAGGAUCCAAGGUCAUGUGAUUCCCAGUUGUAUAACCGAGCUCACAGAAUUAAAUUACCUCAACCUUAGUGGCUCCCGUAAUAUCUCGGCAUUGCCGGAGUCAAUUGGUGACAUGAAAGGUCUGAUGCAUCUUGACCUAUCAGUUUGCACUGGAAUACGUAAGCUUCCAGUAUCAUUCACAGAUCUCAAGCAGCUAGUGUAUCUGGAUUUAUCAUACUGCAAUAUAUCUAUAUCAGAAGCUUUUGUUGGCUUUACCAAACUUCAAUAUUUGAAUUUAUCGGCAGGACUUAUGGGUAAAGUGACUAAUACGGGCCAGAGGUUUUCAGCAAUCUAA
RNAcentral lists this ribosomal RNA (885 nucleotides) under Triticum aestivum (bread wheat). RNAcentral's name for it is "partial small subunit ribosomal RNA". Lineage: Eukaryota; Viridiplantae; Streptophyta; Magnoliopsida; Poales; Poaceae. The record is from RNAcentral.